Rhea pennata is the source of this 1887-nucleotide RNA transcript. It is a transcript of the gene named signal sequence receptor subunit 1, with no coding region annotated. The transcript has 10 exons. The record is from RefSeq and is a predicted model, not a curated record. NCBI's taxonomy places the organism in Eukaryota, Metazoa, Chordata, Aves, Rheiformes, Rheidae.
GCCAGGGCCGAGCAGGCCGCGUCCCCGGAUGGAGGCCAGCGCCAUUUAGACAACCGUGAGCCGCAGCUGCAGGGCUGGUUUGUCGCUGGUGCUAUGGGGCGCCUAUCGCGGAUGCUGUUGCUCGCCCUGCUGGUGUUCCCCGCCGCUGUGCUGCUCGGCGGCGCCCGCCGCGGCCCAGGUGCAGGCUUACUUGUUGCAGCUCAAGAUGCUACAGAAGAUGAGGAAGCUGUGGAAGAUACUGUAGUUGAAGAUGAAGAUGAUGAAGCAGAAGUUGAAGAAGAUGAGCCUACAGACUUGACAGAAGAGAAAGAGGAAGAAGACUUGUCAGGCGAACCUAAAGCCUCACCUAGUGCUGAUACAACCAUCUUAUUUGUGAAAGGUGAAGACUUUCCAGCAAACAACAUUGUAAAAUUUCUGGUAGGCUUCACCAAUAAGGGUACAGAGGAUUUUAUUGUUGAGUCUCUAGAUGCUUCUUUCCGUUACCCUCAAGACUACCAGUUUUAUAUCCAGAACUUCACAGCUCUCCCACUGAAUACAGUAGUUCCACCACAGAGACAAGCCACGUUUGAGUACUCUUUCAUCCCAGCUGAGCCUAUGGGUGGCCGUCCUUUUGGACUAGUUAUCAAUCUAAACUACAGAGAUGUAAAUGGCAAUGUGUUCCAAGAUGCUGUCUUCAAUCAAACAGUUACAAUUAUUGAAAAAGAAGAUGGGCUGGAUGGAGAAACGAUCUUCAUGUAUAUGUUCCUUGCUGGACUUGGUCUACUUGUCAUUGUUGGCCUACAUCAAUUAUUAGAAUCCAGGAAGAGGAAGAGACCAGUACAGAAAGUAGAGAUGGGAACAUCAAAUCAGAAUGAUGUUGAUAUGAGCUGGAUUCCUCAAGAAACUUUAAAUCAAAUCAAUAAAGCUUCACCAAGGCGGUUGCCCCGCAAGAGGGCACAGAAAAGAUCGGUGGGAUCUGAUGAGGACUGAGCAUCUGAGCCAAUGAGUUGAGCAAUACCUGCAAAUCAUGUCACCAUAUUGUGUUUGAAGCAAUGUCUAAGAAAGAAUCCCGCGAGGACUUAAGAAGCAGAUGCUCAAAUGCUCUACAAUUCCCUGGCAUCUAGAACUGGAUACACAACUCAGAUGAUUCUUUGGCUCAUCAUCCUGGGAAAUGUAUUUUAUUCAAAAGAAAGCAUUCAAAAUGCAACUAAGGCAGCUCCAACAAGCUAAAACAAAGGAUUUCUUUUCUUUCUUUCUUUUUUUUUUUUUUUGACACAUGCAUGUGGCUUUCAAAUACAUCCUGAAGAUUUCACAGCCAUAUACAUUUAUGCAAAAAUAAAACUAUAAUGGCAGAAACCUACUUCAUUUAUACAGAAAAUGAGUGAUACACUGUUAAUCACCACAAUGUGCUGUAAGAAAGAUGCUCACUUAUGCGAUCAUGGGGCUACAAAGACCUCUGACCUAACACCUGCACAGGAAAAUCAGCACCAAUAUACUUUUUUUCUUUUUUUUUUUUUGUCUUCAGUUGCUGUUUUGAGAAACUGCAGUUACAGAAAAAGCACCAUUUCAGAGGGUUUUGACUACUAGAAAACUCAAUGGCAAAUGGAACAUGAACAUUCAAAGUGCUACAAUUAUCUCUAAUUCAAACUCAGUCCAACUGAAGGAAGAGAAACAGUAAUACUAUUUACACCGAUAAACUCUGGCUGGUAUGUUGUCCUCUAAUAGAAAAGUUUGAAAGCAAGUUACAAUAAACCCACAAGAAAAGCCACGUCCAUUUUGUAACCUAUAAUUUUUAAAUACAACAUUUUAUUGCUUAGAUGGUUUGAUACAGAACAACUUUUACUUUUAUUUUGAAUUUGGAAGUACUGUACAACUGAAUAAAAAGAGGAAUAAAAGUACCAAAACAAA